Molecule: ribosomal RNA, 254 nt
Filed under: uncultured bacterium
Lineage: Bacteria
Description: partial 16S ribosomal RNA
Source: RNAcentral
CUGCUGCCUCCCGUAGGAGUUUGGGCCGUGUCUCAGUCCCAAUGUGGCCGUUCACCCUCUCAGGCCGGCUACUGAUCGUCGCCUUGGUGGGCCUUUACCCCGCCAACAAGCUAAUCAGACGCGGAUCCAUCGUAUACCACCAAAAGCUUUAGCUUUUUGUUUUCCACACUGCUUCAUGCGAAGCUGUGCGCUUAUGCGGUAUUAGCACCUAUUUCUAAGUGUUAUCCCCCAGUAUACGGCAGGUUCUCCACGCG